Molecule: long non-coding RNA, 447 nt
Filed under: Ananas comosus (pineapple)
Lineage: Eukaryota; Viridiplantae; Streptophyta; Magnoliopsida; Poales; Bromeliaceae
Description: long non-coding RNA (ACOM_LNC034815)
Source: RNAcentral
AAUAGGACCAAUUUUAUAGGUAUAAAUUUUAUAGGGUUAUAUGAGAAAUUUUUUUUGAAGGGCUAAAUAUAAAAAAAAACCUCUAAAGAUGGAACUUUUUACAAAAUAACUCUCUAAAAUUUUGAUAUUUUCAAAAUAAUUAUGUCAAAAUUAUAUUUAGAAAACUAACUCUCCUUUUGCUAUGUAGUAGACAGGUUGGAAUUUUCUCUUAAAGACGGUGAAUGGUGAAUGGUGAAUUAUUCAUCGCCUUCCUAAUUUCUCACAAAGCGAUGAAUUAUUCACCAUUUUUAAAUUAUAUACUGUUUCUUUUUAUAUUUCAUAUAUAAUCCUAACAACCAUAUAAAUAUUUUAAUAAAUUAUAUAUAAUAUUAACAACAUGAAAAUUCUAAUAAUCUAUUCAUAUAAUACUAACAAUAAAAAAAAUUCAUAAUAAUCUAUCCAUAUAAU